UCCAGCUCUGCUGUUAGGCCUUGGAAUCUGAAUCCUUUAGCUGGCUUGUCGUUCUCUAGUUGAGUUACAGAAGUCUUCGAUCGCUCGUGACAAGCUUCUUCUGCGUCUCUUUCCUUCUGUCUCACCUCAGAAAUGGUCCAUGCACCAUGCAGGCUCAGUCUCUUCAGGCCUCGAGCCCUCUUCUUUCGGGCACAAGUGAGUAUUGCCAAUGUUAUGUAUUUCUUGGUCCUUUUGGGAUCCCUCACAUGAGGUCAAGCAACUAUCAAUCGAACAAUCCGCAAUAUGGGUUGUUUGUGUGUGCGGGGUGCCCAAACACGCCAGUCUGUUCAACUCAGAAAAGGUGGAGUUGAGGCAUUCAGUGGAAACACUAGAGACCAAUUCAGAGAGUUGCAUUUUGGCUGCUUCCAAUCCCGCAGAACCCAGAUUCUGUCUUCUGAGAGUCUCUUGUGCCUUCUCUAGCACCGAUUGUAAGUAUUUUCCCUGUGCCUCUAUUCUUAGCUGUAAGUGCUGCUGCACCUAUUUCAAUCCAGAACAAAAACCAAAAACCAAAAAGGAAAUAUAUUCAGAAUAUCAUCUGUACUACAUAUAAUGUUAAUCCCCAAGUGCAAAGAAGUUACAUGCAAGCCAUUCAAAAUUAUUGAACCAUGUUAUAUGAAAGGA
Molecule: long non-coding RNA, 660 nt
Organism: Magnolia sinica
Lineage: Eukaryota; Viridiplantae; Streptophyta; Magnoliopsida; Magnoliales; Magnoliaceae
Exons: 2
Source: RefSeq, a predicted model, not a curated record